AGUGAACGCUGGCGGUAGGCCUAACACAUGCCAGUCGAACGGCAGCACAGUAAGAGCUUGCUCUUACGGGUGGCGAGUGGCGGACGGGUGAGGAAUACAUCGGAAUCUACUUUUUCGUGGGGGAUAACGUAGGGAAACUUACGCUAAUACCGCAUACGACCUACGGGUGAAAGCAGGGGAUCUUCGGACCUUGCGCGAUUGAAUGAGCCGAUGUCGGAUUAGCUAGUUGGCGGGGUAAAGGCCCACCAAGGCGACGAUCCGUAGCUGGUCUGAGAGGAUGAUCAGCCACACUGGAACUGAGACACGGUCCAGACUCCUGCGGGAGGCAGCAGUGGGGAAUAUUGGACAAUGGGCGCAAGCCUGAUCCAGCCAUACCGCGUGGGUGAAGAAGGCCUUCGGGUUGUAAAGCCCUUUUGUUGGGAAAGAAAAGCAGCAGGUUAAUACCCCGCUGUUCUGACGGUACCCAAAGAAUAAGCACCGGCUAACUUCGCG
RNAcentral lists this ribosomal RNA (492 nucleotides) under uncultured bacterium. Its description in RNAcentral is "partial 16S ribosomal RNA". It matches the Rfam family "Bacterial small subunit ribosomal RNA", at positions 29 to 507 of the family's 1533-position model. The record is from RNAcentral.